Molecule: ribosomal RNA, 1348 nt
Filed under: metagenome
Description: bacterial LSU rRNA
Rfam family: Bacterial large subunit ribosomal RNA
Source: RNAcentral
CGAGUACGACCCGUUACGACGGGGAAGUGUCUGAUGUCGGGCUUCCAAGAAAAGCCCGAACCACGUUAAUUCAAAUUGGCCCGUACCCUAAACCGACACAGGUGGGAAGGUAGAGUAUACCCAGGGGCGCGAGAUAACUCUCUCUAAGGAACUCGGCAAAAUGGCCCCGUAACUUCGGGAGAAGGGGUGCCACCGAGAGGUGGUCGCAGUGAAGAGUCCCAGGCGACUGUUUACCAAAAACACAGGUCUCCGCUAAGUCGCAAGACGAUGUAUGGGGGCUGACGCCUGCCCAGUGCCGGAAGGUUAAGGAAGUUGGUCAGGGAGCAAUCCUGAAGCUAGCGACUGAAGCCCCGGUGAACGGCGGCCGUAACUAUAACGGUCCUAAGGUAGCGAAAUUCCUUGUCGGGUAAGUUCCGACCCGCACGAAAGGCGUAACGAUCUGGGAGCUGUCUCGGAGAGAGGCUCGGCGAAAUAGGAAUGUCUGUGAAGAUACGGACUACCUGCACCCGGACAGAAAGACCCUAUGAAGCUUUACUGUAGCUUGGUAUUGGGUUCGGGCUUUGAUUGCGCAGGAUAGGUGGGAGACUAUGAAGUAGUCCUUGUGGGGAUUAUGGAGUCACUGGUGAGAUACCACUCUAUCAAGGCUAGAAUUCUAACUUUGACCCGUUAUCCGGGCAGAGAACAGUAUCAGGUGGGCAGUUUGACUGGGGCGGUCGCCUCCUAAAUGGUAACGGAGGCGCGCAAAGGUUCCCUCAGGCUGGUUGGAAAUCAGCCAUUGAGUGUAAAGGCAUAAGGGAGCUUGACUGCGAGACUGACAAGUCGAGCAGGUACGAAAGUAGGCCUUAGUGAUCCGACGGUUCCGCGUGGAAGGGCCGUCGCUCAACGGAUAAAAGUUACUCUAAGGAUAACAGGCCGAUCUCCCCCAAGAGUUCACAUCGACGGGGAGGUUUGGCACCUCGAUGUCGGCUCAUCGCAACCUGGGGCUGUAGUCGGUCCCAAGGGUUGGGCUGUUCGCCCAUUAAAGCGGUACGUGAGCUGGGUUCAGAACGUCGUGAGACAGUUCGGUCCAUAUCCGGUGCAGGCGUAGGAACAUUGAGAGGAGUCUUCCUUAGUACGAGAGGACCGGGAAGAACGCACCGCUGGUGUACCUGUUAUCGUGCCAACGGUAAACGCAGGGUAGCCAAGUGCGGAGAGGAUAACCGCUGAAAGCAUCUAAGUGGGAAGCCCACCUCAAGAUGAGUGUUCCCAUGGCAAAAGCCAGUAAGGUCACGGGUAGACCACCCGUUAAUAGGCGCUAGAUGGAAGUCCAGCAAUGGAUGUAGUCGAGGCGUACUAACAGACCGAGGGC